This is a long non-coding RNA of Adelges cooleyi (spruce gall adelgid), 2172 nucleotides long. RefSeq lists it as uncharacterized. The transcript has 6 exons. Lineage: Eukaryota; Metazoa; Arthropoda; Insecta; Hemiptera; Adelgidae. The record is from RefSeq and is a predicted model, not a curated record.
GGUAAACCACACAUGCAUGUGUACUGAGUUUAAUCUCAAAUUAAGGUGUAUACAUUUUAUUAUUACAUUCAGUGUCUAAAAAGGACGACUGAUUCUGAGUAGAUAUAGGUGUCUCUUUUAAAACCAUCCAAGUGAUAAAUUAAACUACAAAGCUGCUACUCCAAGAAAUCGUCGCUGGACCAGACAACUACAAGCCGUAAGUUGUUGUCAAGUGUCUUGUUAGCUAAACCCUGACCAGCCAGGCCUCUUUAUUGCUGUUUCUAAAAUUGGAAAAUUAUAGUUUAUGAAGUGUGAAGCGAGUCCAGAACUAAUAUCUAUCGUAACAGACUAUUGCAACAAAACCAUGGUCAAAGUAGAAGAAGUAUAUGAACAGCUUAAAAUGAACCGUACCAAAGCCGAUGAAGAACAAACAAAAUUGACUUUCAAUGAAAAGGCAGAAAUUGAUGUAAAUACUCAGACUGAAUCUCAACGAUAAUUGACAGCAAUACAUACAAUGUUAACAAACCGGGAGAUUAUUACCACCAGGUCAGAGAAUCGUAUAACGUUUCCUCAACAACAGAGAACGGAAUUCAAGAAACAUUUGACGGCAAUACUUAUAAUAUAAGAGGAACGAUUGUGAAAAUAGAAGCAGAUAUAGUGGAAUGAAAUUAUUUCGAGUCUGUGAUAGAAGUUGAAAAAAAAGACUUUUUGGAUACUCAAAUAUCGAACUACGAUUUGGAUAAAAUUCGGACAUUUAUUUGCGACCUUUGCCAAGAAUUGUUUACUUCUAAAAGAAAUGUGGCCCAUCAUAUUAAUAAAUCGCACAGAAUCCAGAAACCUACUAAAAAACAUGUCGUUAGAAAUACACUAUGCAAUAAAAUGGUUUCGAAGAAAAUCGGUAUGAAAUCAAAAAAACGGCGAUCGUUUCAUUGUCAUUUGUGUCAAAUUUCGUACUUUACUAAAAAGCAAAUAACAUUACAUAUAACAGAAGUCCACCAAAGUUCAACAAACAAAACCAUUCCUCGAAAAUCUAAAUCAAAAUUUUGCAAUCAUACACUACAUGAACGCGUGUACAUUGGAGAGAAGCCAUUCAAAUGUAAUACGGGCAAAAAAAAAAUUUCUCAAAACGCUCAAUUUUCAAAACAUGAACGCAAACACACCAUUGAAAAGUCCUACAAAUGUGAUGUUUGCAAAAAUACUUUUUCUCGAAAAGCUCACCUUACACAACAUGAACGCGCACACACUGGUGAAAAGCCCUACCAAUGUGAUGUUUGCAAAAAGACUUUUUCUCAAACCUCUAAUCUUACACAACACAAACGUCUGCACACCGGUGAAAAGCCCUACAAAUGUGAUGUUUGUUAAAAUAGUUUUUCUAUUAAACGUCAUCUUAUAGCUCACAAACGUAUACACACCGGCGAAUAGCCUUAUAAACGUGAUGUUUCAAAAAUACUUUUUCCCAUUAAAGUAACCUUAAACUACAUAAAUGCGUGCACACUGGUGAGAAGCCAUUCAAAUGUGUAUUGUACAAAAAGACCUUCUAAAAAAGGAAAACUUGCGAAACAUGCAAGCGUUCGCUUGCAUGCAAAUAAAAGACCUUAGACAUUGUGCUUAAAGAUUUUGCUCAACUCAGAUUAUUUAAUCACUCGGACUUUUUUAUAUAUUUUUUACUUUGUUUUUGGAAUAGUCAUAUAAGGUCAUAUACCUAAUUUAUAGUCAAAUUGCCAGUUGCCUACUAAUAUGUGGCAAUUAAUAUUGUGAAUGUCUGUAUGAACAGUUACUAUUUUCAUUCUUAUUAUAUCAAAAUGUAUUUAAAUUUUAGUAUUAUUACAUAUGAAUACAAUGUUAAUUUUUUUUUUUAAUUAUAUUUAUUGAUUGGGUUUAAAUUUUGUAUGGUAAUGAUGUGUCUUAUUGUCUUAAUUAUUACUUUAAGUUAUGUAAAUAGUAAAUAGUUUAAAAAAAAUAAUAGGUAUAUUAUAUGAGAGGCAACCUAUAACAAUCGAGCUACACUGUAUUACAUUAUUAUAUCAGCUUACUAUUUAUAUUUGGUGUUCAUGCUAAUUUAUAAUUUUUAUUGUGACAAUUGGUUGUUGUUGCUAUAAGGAAAUCACCAAAAAUGUACAACGAUUUUUUUUGAAACUAAAGUAAUGAAAAAAGACAAGUUUAAGUAUAGUUAAUUUUGUGAUAACCAUCAAU